This is a long non-coding RNA of Cyprinus carpio (common carp), 314 nucleotides long. RefSeq lists it as uncharacterized. The record is from RefSeq and is a predicted model, not a curated record. The transcript is spliced from 4 exons. NCBI's taxonomy places the organism in Eukaryota, Metazoa, Chordata, Actinopteri, Cypriniformes, Cyprinidae.
AAAAAGGCCAAGCUCCAAGGACCUCCAGGCAAGUUUAAUGUGUAUGUCACGCUGAAGGUCCAGAAUGUUAAAAGCACAACCAUCACAGUGCGAGGAGACCGGCCCUGCUGGGAACAGGAUUUCAUGUUUGAGAUUAAUCGUCUGGACCUGGGUCUGGUUGUGGAGGUGUGGAAUAAAGGGCUCAUCUGGGACAUCUUGAUAGGAACAGCAUGGAUCCCACUUAACACCAUACGCCAAUCAGAUGAGGAGGGGCCUGGAGAAUGGACCUCACUGGAUUCAGAGGUUCUGAUGAAGGAAGAUGAGAUAUAUGGCAC